Molecule: long non-coding RNA, 321 nt
Organism: Mytilus trossulus (common blue mussel)
Lineage: Eukaryota; Metazoa; Mollusca; Bivalvia; Mytilida; Mytilidae
Exons: 3
Source: RefSeq, a predicted model, not a curated record
UUUACCUAUGAUAAAUUAUUGUAAAUGUGACAAUUUCGUUCCCUGUUCAUUCUCUCUUCCAAACAAGUGGUACACACACUAAAUCCUACCGGGACAUAUAGGUGAAAUGAAGAAAAGGUAAAGAUCUCAUCUGGUAUUAUAAAGAUGAAGCAGAGAUCCACAGACACCACACAGUGAAAUAAUGGCGAUGGCGGUUCCUCCGGCUAUAGCUAUGUAGGCAGCUACAUGGUACAGUUCGUCACCUAGGACAGCAGACAACUGGUGUGCUCCAUAGUCGGAGGCUAUGAUGUAUAUUCCCAUAGACAAACUGGAUACACCAGC